RNAcentral lists this transfer RNA (71 nucleotides) under Candidatus Wolfebacteria bacterium GWA1_42_9. RNAcentral's name for it is "tRNA-Gly". It matches the Rfam family "tRNA". Rfam says of the family: Transfer RNA (tRNA) molecules are approximately 80 nucleotides in length. Their secondary structure includes four short double-helical elements and three loops (D, anti-codon, and T loops). The record is from RNAcentral. Lineage: Bacteria; Candidatus Wolfeibacteriota.
GCGGGAUUAGUUGAGCGGUUCAACGGCUCCCUUCCAAGGAGCAAAGAGGGAUUCGACUUCCCUAUCCCGCU